This 387-nucleotide ribosomal RNA is filed under the name Holochilus brasiliensis (web-footed marsh rat). Its description in RNAcentral is "partial 12S ribosomal RNA". The stretch from base 45 to 387 matches the Rfam family "Bacterial small subunit ribosomal RNA", at positions 875 to 1381 of the family's 1533-position model. Lineage: Eukaryota; Metazoa; Chordata; Mammalia; Rodentia; Cricetidae. The record is from RNAcentral.
CUUAGCCUUAAACUUUAAUAAUUCCAUAACAAAAAUAUUUGCCAGAGGACUACUAGCCACAGCUUAAAACUCAAAGGACUUGGCGGUACUUUAUAUCCACCUAGAGGAGCCUGUUCUGUAAAUCGAUAAACCCCGCUAUACCUUACCACCCCUUGCUAAUUCAGCCUAUAUACCGCCAUCUUCAGCGAACCUUCAAAAAGAAUAAAAGUAAGCAAGAGUAUAAUCAUAAAAACGUUAGGUCAAGGUGUAGCCAAUGAGGUGGGAAGAAAUGGGCUACAUUUUCUUUUAACUAGAACAUCAACGAAACUCUUUAUGAAAUUAAAGAAUAAAGGAGGAUUUAGUAGUAAAUUAAGAAUAGAGAGCUUAAUUGAACUGAGCAAUGAAGUA